This 683-nucleotide long non-coding RNA is filed under the name Sus scrofa (pig). Its description in RNAcentral is "lncRNA (ENSSSCG00025072950.1, ENSSSCG00065030537.1)". The record is from RNAcentral. Lineage: Eukaryota; Metazoa; Chordata; Mammalia; Artiodactyla; Suidae.
GGUAGGCAGCAGCAGAAGAAAGGUAUACAGCCUCUUGCUUUAUAUCCCCUUGAAAAUAUCAAAGUGCAAGCAAAAAACACAAAGAGAGGAAACUACAGAAGCCACACGAUAGGAAGAAGCACCACGACUUCGAGCCAGAAAGUUGGGUGUUCAAGUCUUUGUUAUUACUUAUUACAUCUAAUUGAGAUUUCCUGUUUGGUAGUCAAGGAAAGACGAAAAUGAAAGUACCACAUUGUUAGUUCUGACCAAGGUAUUUAAAUUUUUCUUGUUGUUCACAAUGUGAUGUUAAUUUGAAGCCCUGCUUUUUUUUUUUUUUUUAAUGAAGCAUAUCCAUUGUGCAAGAACACGGAUAUGUUCCCUAGAAGCCAAACUAUGUGUAGAAUGCAAGGAGUGUAGUUCGUGUACAUUGCUCAUUCAAAACAAGGUGUAGUAUUUUGUGGCAUCUAAUUGACGUUGUGGCUUGCAACUCAUGGAUGCUUUGGGGGUAUAAUUUAGUUUCUUUUGUGGUAAAUACUUGUGACAGUGCUUUCUUUCUUUUUUUUUUCUUUUUUUAAAAUUUUUAUUACUCAAAUGAAUUUAUCACAUCUGUAGUUGUAUAAUGAUCAUAACAAUCUGAUUUCACAGGAUUUCCAUCCCACAGCCCAGACAGUGCUUUCAUAGCUUAAAUGUUUAAGGGGAAAGUG